UUCUGGGAACUUGAGGUCACUGAUUGCAACACGCUCUUCUUACACCCGUGUUCAAGAACCUGACUCACAGAAGACUUCCUCUGUCUCUGUCAGAUUUCAGGCAUCAAACAGGUAACCCCUUAAAUGCCUAAGGCUUGAGCCUGCAGAAUUCCUGCUGAGGAGAUGAAGGCACUUAACUGUUGAGAAUAUUGGAAAUCCUGGGCAAACAUUCAGGUCACUAGGAGACUCGCAGAACCCAAAUGGCAAUGCUGGCGUUGGCAUCAUGGAGUCCAUUUUUACAUCAGCAUGAACUGUUCAGUGCAAUUCUGCUGGGAUCAGCCCUUACAGCACAGUCCUGGAAGAACCAUUAUGUGUGGGUGCUGUACCACAUUCUCUGGGGUUCACACAAAUUUUUGUGAAGCUAUGCUGUCUGCACUUAAAGUCAUCUUCGACUCCCGGACAAGCCAGCUGCCGUGUUAGGAGCUGGCGUGCGGGGAAGCCUGUGCAGCCAGUGUGGUCUCCAGCACACAGCCAGCAAGGGACUGAAUCCUGCCGACAGCCGCCUGAGUGAGCAUGGAAGCAGAUCUCCUAGGCAAGCCCUCUGCAGCCCUGGCCAGCACCUUUGUCACAGCCCUGUGAGACCCAGAGUGACAAGACCCAGUCCAGCCACACCCAGAUCCUGACCUACAGUCAUGGGAGAAGAUGUAGCCAUUUUUCUCCUGAACUCACCACAAUUGGAGUAUCUGUAGAUGAGGAAGGCUGCGAGGAGGAAGAGUAAGGUGAAGAUGAUGAUGAGGAUGAUUUCAGUGGUCCCUGGAGAGGAGAGCAGGUAAGAGGGCCAGUUGGUUUCCCAAGACUUGUUCUGAUGCCUACAUGUCUACCACUGAUUGGGUUCCUGUGACAUGCUGGAGACAAACUACAUCUCUCUCCUACUUACAAGUGUCCCGGAAGAGACU
Molecule: long non-coding RNA, 935 nt
Organism: Hipposideros armiger (great roundleaf bat)
Lineage: Eukaryota; Metazoa; Chordata; Mammalia; Chiroptera; Hipposideridae
Exons: 4
Source: RefSeq, a predicted model, not a curated record